Molecule: ribosomal RNA, 405 nt
Filed under: uncultured bacterium
Lineage: Bacteria
Description: partial 16S ribosomal RNA
Rfam family: Bacterial small subunit ribosomal RNA
Source: RNAcentral
AUUGAACGCUGGCGGCAGGCUAAACACAUAAAAGUAGAACGAGUGGCGGACGGGAGAGUAAUGAUUGGGAAUCUAGCUUCUGGAGGGGGAUAACUACGGGAAACUGUGGCUAAUACCGCGUACCAUAGGAUGAGCCCAAGUGGGAUUAGGUAGUUGGUGAGGUAAAGGCUCACCAAGCCGACGAUCUCUAGCUGGUCUGUGAGGAUGACCCGCCACACUGGGACGGAGACACGGCCCAUACUCCUACGGGAGGCAGCAGUGUGGAAUAUUGCGCAAUGGGGGCAACCUGACGCAGCCAUGCCGCGUGAAUGAAGAAGGCCUUCGGGUUGUAAAGUUCUUUCGGUAGCGAGGCGUUAACUACAGAAGAAGCACCGGCUAACUCCGGGCCAGCAGCCGCGGUAAUAC